This 253-nucleotide ribosomal RNA is filed under the name uncultured bacterium. RNAcentral describes it as "partial 16S ribosomal RNA". It matches the Rfam family "Bacterial small subunit ribosomal RNA", at positions 524 to 776 of the family's 1533-position model. The record is from RNAcentral.
UACGUAGGCGGCAAGCGUUGUUCGGAGUUACUGGGCGUAAAGGGUGCGUAGGCGGCUUUUUAAGUCUGGUGUGAAAUCUCCCGGCUCAACUGGGAGGGUGCGCCGGAUACUGAGGGGCUAGAGUGUGGGAGAGGAAAGUGGAAUUCCUGGUGUAGCGGUGAAAUGCGCAGAUAUCAGGAAGAACACCCGUGGCUAAGGCGGCUCUCUAGUACGGUACUGACGCUGAGACGCGAAAGCGUGGGGAGCGAACAGG